GCAAGUCGAACGCGAAAGAUUUUCUUCGGAGGAUCGAGUAGAGUGGCGCACGGGUGAGUAACGCGUAAGUUAUCUACCCUCCCAUCUGGAAUAACUCACCGAAAGGUGUGCUAAUACCGGAUACGUUGGAAACAAGAAAGGUGGCCUCUAUUUAUAAGCUACCGUGGGGGGAUGAGCUUGCGUACCAUUAGCUAGUUGGUAGGGUAAUGGCCUACCAAGGCAACGAUGGUUAGCGGGUCUGAGAGGAUGAUC
Molecule: ribosomal RNA, 252 nt
Filed under: uncultured bacterium
Lineage: Bacteria
Description: partial 16S ribosomal RNA
Rfam family: Bacterial small subunit ribosomal RNA
Source: RNAcentral